RNAcentral lists this long non-coding RNA (1039 nucleotides) under Helianthus annuus (common sunflower). Its description in RNAcentral is "hypothetical non coding rna". Lineage: Eukaryota; Viridiplantae; Streptophyta; Magnoliopsida; Asterales; Asteraceae. The record is from RNAcentral.
UUUUUCUUUUUAUUACCUUUUUAUUAUACCUUUAUAUUUAAAAAUGCUUUACAAAAAAAAAUUCUAAAUGUUUAUCAGUUAUACUUACAGUGAUUAAGUUUCUAUAUUCUACAAUAGUUGACUGUAUGUCGGGUUGUAUACAUUAUUUGACACUCAUUACUAUUGGCCAAAAAGUUAGCCAAUAGUAGCAUGACCACAAGCACGAGGGAAUUGUGCCCCAAUAGCCAUAUCCUAUAACUAAUAUAAUUUAUACACUACUAUUAUAAAUUAUUAAAAGAAAUAUUAAUGAUUGAAAUAAAUCUAAAUGGUGUGUAUAUAGAAUGAGCUUUAUUAACCCUUAUUAAGUGUCACUAGUUGAGAGAAUGAUCAACAGUGAUAGGACCAGAAGUCACUAGUUGAAAGAAUGAUCAACAAUGAUAUCACCACAAUUACUAGUUGAGAUAAUGAUGAACCGUAAUAUGACCCGAGUCACUAGUUGAAAGAACGAUCAAUAGUGAUAUGACCACAAUUACUAGUUGAGAGAAUGAUCAACAGUAAUAUGACCCGAGUCACUAGUUGAGAGAAUGAUCAACAGUGAUACGACACCAGUCACUAGUUGAAAGAACGAGCAACAGUGAUUUGACCACCGUCACAGGAAUCGCCUAGUGACCGUUAUAAUAGUAAGAUAUACUAUAUAUCUAUUACUUGAUAAACUUCACUACUGGACGAAAGUGAGCUAAUGAGUAAUAUGACCACCGUCACAUCGGAACUGCCACCAUAUUGCCCGAAACUGACGAAAGCACUCGACAACAAGACAAAAACAACAGAAGGAGCUAAGAAGAACGCGCGAGCAUUCGUACUUACUACACAAUAAGCAGAAAUGAUUCCGGACGUAAUCGCUGAUAUCUAAUCUCUCAGUUAAGUUAUUAUUUGACCGUAGUAUAAAUAAAAGUUUAUAAAUAAAUUCAUCAUGUCAAGUACUUCAUCUAUUCAAAACCAUAACAGACUUGUUGGGUCUUCCCUUUCAUUGAAUCCUAUUUUUGGUUACGACACCUUAUAA